UAGGGAAUCUUCCGCAAUGGACGAAAGUCUGACGGAGCAACGCCGCGUGAGUGAUGAAGGUUUUCGGAUCGUAAAGCUCUGUUGCCAGGGAAGAACGCUUGGGAGAGUAACUGCUCUCAAGGUGACGGUACCUGAGAAGAAAGCCCCGGCUAACUACGUGCCAGCAGCCGCGGUAAUACGUAGGGGGCAAGCGUUGUCCGGAAUUAUUGGGCGUAAAGCGCGCGCAGGCGGUUAAUUAAGUCUGAUGUUUAAGGCCAAGGCUCAACCUUGGUUCGCAUUGGAAACUGGUUAACUUGAGUACAGAAGAGGAAAGUGGAAUUCCACGUGUAGCGGUGAAAUGCGUAGAGAUGUGGAGGAACACCAGUGGCGAAGGCGACUUUCUGGGCUGUAACUGACGCUGAGGCGCGAAAGCGUGGGGAGCAAACAGGAUUAGAUACCCCCGUAGUCC
Molecule: ribosomal RNA, 448 nt
Filed under: uncultured bacterium
Lineage: Bacteria
Description: bacterial SSU rRNA
Rfam family: Bacterial small subunit ribosomal RNA
Source: RNAcentral